CUUUCUUAUAAAUGUUAUCAUGUCAUAAAAGACAUUUAUGUGCCAACAUACUAAAUGCAAAUAAUCAAACUCUAACCGACACAAAGACCUAAAUAAUUUAGCUAAGACUGUCUGCAUCAGAGAGACCCAAACCCAAAAUAGGUUGCACAUAGUGCUAUAUCUCUUCAGAAACACGAUCCAACGGAUGACCCAAACGUAGAACCCAUUUUGCACACCAUGCCAAUAUAGAUGCAAAAAUGCCUCACUUCUCCACGCUA
This 257-nucleotide long non-coding RNA is filed under the name Sorghum bicolor (sorghum). Its description in RNAcentral is "long non-coding RNA (SBIC_LNC013832)". The record is from RNAcentral. Lineage: Eukaryota; Viridiplantae; Streptophyta; Magnoliopsida; Poales; Poaceae.